Molecule: RNA transcript, 2582 nt
Organism: Solenopsis invicta (red fire ant)
Lineage: Eukaryota; Metazoa; Arthropoda; Insecta; Hymenoptera; Formicidae
Gene name: glucose dehydrogenase [FAD, quinone]
Exons: 6
Source: RefSeq, a predicted model, not a curated record
CUCUCUCUCUUUUGUAUAUACGAGUAUGUUUAUUAUUUCUCUUCUCAACAAAAACAAGUUUCUAAUAAUUCGUCAGAUUUAAUAUAAGCAUCAAUAUUUAUUCCUCGUUUUCUCAAGGGUUAAUCACUCGAUCGUAAAACCUAUGCAUUAAUCCACGUGGUACGAAUCCUGCUUGGAGUCAGAAGACGAAGACUCGGAUAAUGACGUCACACACCACGUGUGUCUUUUUCGUCAACGAAUGUUUCUGACCACACGCGAUGAGUUUCUCGAUUAGUUCAUACAGUGUGGUCGUAGUUAUGCUGUCCCUUUGACUAUGCCGAACGACAUGCGGUCGUAUUUUCUUUGGUUAAUUUUGGUGCAUUAUAUUAUCGCUAAUCCAGUCAAAGCACAACUAAGACGAGCAACUAGUAACUAUGCCACCGGAUGUUGUUCCUGUCCGUUCGAGGAUACGCAAUACAUGAAUCGUGUCUGUAGUGGUACUAGCGCUUUUAUGACGCUGGUUCAACAUGUAAUAUCCGCUAGAUGCGAUAUCGCUGAUCCUUGUCGACGUUUGGGCAGCGACAAAGCACCGAGUGAAAAUGAAUGGUUCGACUUUAUAAUUGUCGGCGCAGGUGUGGCUGGACCAAUAAUUGCGAGAAGAUUAAGCGACAAUCCAUGGCGAAAGAUAUUGCUCAUUGAAGCUGGUCCGGAAGAACCCAGUAUGACAGCUAUACCAGGAUUUGCGUUCAAUGCCAUUAAUACGUCCCUUGAUUGGAACUUCAAGACGGAACCAACAUUAUCGCAACCUACCGCCUGUUUAGAAACGGGCGGUGUUUGUACUUGGCCAAGAGGCAAAAUGGUCGCCGGUACUGGCGGUUUGCACGGUAUGAUGUACAUCCGAGGGCAUCCUGAACUUUACAAUCGUUGGGCGCGAGAAGGUAACGUGGGUUGGUCCUAUGACGAAAUCAGUCAUUAUUUUGAACGAGUAGAGAAUCCAAUUGACCCAACAAUCUUGUCAGAUAAACCUAGAAGCCUAAAGGACGGUGGACUGAUGAAUAUUCAAUAUUAUUCCCACAAGCCGGAUUUUGUGAAUGUAUUGUUGACAGCCGCAAGCCAACUAGGUUAUAAAACUUCUCGAUUAAAGGAGUAUAGUCAAACCGGCUUCAUGAUCGCACCAAUGACAACCGAGAACGGUAUGCGUCUCACAACUUCGAGAGCAUAUCUGAGACCUGUUCAUAACCGCAAGAAUCUACAAGUACUUACGAACGCUCAGGUCACCAAGAUCUUGAUUAGUCCAUGGGAACAAAAAGCUUACGGCGUGGAACUGGUAGAUAAAGACGGUUACAAAAGAGUAGUGAAAUGCGAUAAGGAAGUGAUCUUGACGGCUGGUGCUAUCGGCUCGCCGCAUAUCCUCAUGAAUUCUGGCGUGGGACCUGAGAAAGAUCUCACAAAGUUUGGUAUUAAAGUGUACAAGGACUUACCGGUCGGCAAAAAUCUGCACAAUCAUGUGUCUGUGGGUGUACCUAUGAGCAUUAAGGAUACCCCAUACGAGGUCGUAACCAUGGAGGCCGUAAACGAAUAUCUGGAGAAGAAGACGGGUCCAUUGGCUAGCACCGGUAUCACUCAAGUCACCGCUUUCCUCGAGAGUAGCUACGCGGUCAACGGCAUACCGGAUAUUCAAGUUUUCUUCGACGGUUUUAGUUCCAUUUGCCCAAAAACUGGUUUACUUAGUGAGUGUAUCAAUGGUAAAAUUCAAUCCGAAUGUCCGGAUAGAAGAGAGAUCGUGGCAAGACCUACGGUGGUUUACGUGGAAAGUCGAGGCGACUUAAAACUCCGUUCAAAUAAUCCUUUGGAUCCACCAUUGAUAUAUCCAAAUUACUUCACAAACGAAAAGGAUCUAAUAAUUCUGCUCGAAGGUGUCAAAAAAAUUAGCAAGCUUGUUGACACGCCCGCUAUGAAGAAGUGGGAUCUUCGCUUGGAACAAGUGAGAAGUCCAUUGUGUAGCGACUACCAUUUUGGCACAGACGCUUUCUGGAUGUGUCAAAUAAGGGCGGAAACUGGACCGGAAAAUCAUCAAUCUGGAACAUGCAAAUUGGGACCGAGUACCGAUCCAAGUGCAGUUGUAGAUUCAGACCUUCGAGUACAUGGUAUACCGAAUAUUCGUGUCGCAGAUGCUUCCAUCUUUCCUAUUGUACCAAAUUCAAAUCCUAUCGCCGGGAUCAUGAUGGUAGCUGAAAAGGCAGCUGAUAUGAUUAACAAUGCUUGGCCAUAAAAACUUUAAAUGUACAACUUUUGAUAUAUUGUAUAGUAAUAAAAAUGACGUGUAUACGAGUUGUACGCAUACAUAUUCAGAGGAAAAAGAUGUAACAACAUUGGCUUUAUAGAAAAUAAUCAAAAUAAUAGAAAGAAAUAAAGAAAUACUUUGAAACAACAGAUGUGCCUAUUUAACAGCAUCAAACUGAUAGUCAUAUGCUUGUGCAUGAGAACUAGGAACAAUAUGUAAUUUAAAACAGUGUUAAGAAAGAAAUGAUAAACAUGAAGAGAAAGAGCUGAUGAUUUCGAGGAAAUAGAAAUAAUCUUAUUAGUUUGUUACAUAACAGUAU